GAGCCCGUGGCUCAAUGGUAGAGCGUUCGACUCAAAUACCAAAGGUCGCGGGUUCN
Non-coding RNA from Schistocephalus solidus, 56 nucleotides. NCBI's taxonomy places the organism in Eukaryota, Metazoa, Platyhelminthes, Cestoda, Diphyllobothriidea, Diphyllobothriidae. The record is from Rfam.